Molecule: transfer RNA, 73 nt
Filed under: Phycisphaerae bacterium
Lineage: Bacteria; Pseudomonadati; Planctomycetota; Phycisphaerae
Description: tRNA-Lys
Rfam family: tRNA
About the family: Transfer RNA (tRNA) molecules are approximately 80 nucleotides in length. Their secondary structure includes four short double-helical elements and three loops (D, anti-codon, and T loops).
Source: RNAcentral
GCCUCGGUAGCUCAGUUGGUAGAGCAGCUGGCUCUUAACCAGCGGGUCCUAGGUUCGAGCCCUAGCCGAGGCA